AUUGAACGCUGGCGGCAUGCCUUACACAUGCAAGUCGAACGGCAGCACGGGAGCAAUCCUGGUGGCGAGUGGCGAACGGGUGAGUAAUAUAUCGGAACGUGCCCAGUAGUGGGGGAUAGCCCGGCGAAAGCCGGAUUAAUACCGCAUACGACCUGUGGGUGAAAAGCGGGGGAUCGCAAGACCUCGCGCUAUUGGAGCGGCCGAUAUCAGAUUAGCUAGUUGGUGGGGUAAAGGCCUACCAAGGCGACGAUCUGUAGCUGGUCUGAGAGGACGACCAGCCACACUGGGACUGAGACACGGCCCAGACUCCUACGGGAGGCAGCAGUGGGGAAUUUUGGACAAUGGGCGCAAGCCUGAUCCAGCCAUGCCGCGUGUGGGAAGAAGG
Molecule: ribosomal RNA, 385 nt
Filed under: uncultured bacterium
Lineage: Bacteria
Description: bacterial SSU rRNA
Rfam family: Bacterial small subunit ribosomal RNA
Source: RNAcentral